Molecule: ribosomal RNA, 468 nt
Filed under: uncultured bacterium
Lineage: Bacteria
Description: partial 16S ribosomal RNA
Rfam family: Bacterial small subunit ribosomal RNA
Source: RNAcentral
GACGAACGCUGGCGGCGUGCUUAACACAUGCAAGUCGAACGGAAAGACCCUGCUUUUGUGGGGUGCUCGAGUGGCGAACGGGUGAGUAAGACGUGAGUAACCUGCUCUUCACUUUGGGGGAACAUCAGGAAACUGGGGCUAAUACCGGAGAGGAGCUCCUGCUGCUUGGUGGGGGGUGGAACGUUUCGUCGGUUGGGAAUGGAUUCGCGGCUUAUCAGCUUGUUGGUGGGGUAGUGGCUUACCAAGGCUUUGACGGGUAGCCGGCCUGAGAGGGUGACCGGCGACAUUGGGACUGAGAUACGGCCCAGACUGCUACGGGAGGCAGCAGUGGGGAAUAUUGCACAAUGGGCGGAAGCCUGAUGCAGAAGCGCUGCGUGCGGGAAGACGGCCUUCGGGUUAUAAACCGCUUUCGCCUGUGACGAAGCGUGAGUGACGGUAACGGGUGAAGAAGCACCGGCUAACUACGUG